AGAGUUUGAUCAUGGCUCAGAUUGAACGCUGGCGGAAUGCUUUACACAUGCAAGUCGAACGGCAGCAUAGGUGCUUGCACCUGAUGGCGAGUGGCGAACGGGUGAGUAAUACAUCGGAACGUGCCCAGUCGUGGGGGAUAACGUAGCGAAAGUUACGCUAAUACCGCAUACGAUCUACGGAUGAAAGCGGGGGACCGUAAGGCCUCGCGCGAUUGGAGCGGCCGAUGUUAGAUUAGGUAGUUGGUGGGGUAAAGGCUCACCAAGCCGACGAUCUAUAGCUGGUCUGAGAGGAUGAUCAGCCACACUGGGACUGAGACACGGCCCAGACUCCUACGGGAGGCAGCAGUGGGGAAUUUUGGACAAUGGGCGCAAGCCUGAUCCAGCCAUUCCGCGUGCAGGACGAAGGCCUUCGGGUUGUAAACUGCUUUUGUACAGAACGAAAAGCCUUGGGUUAAUACCCUGAGGUCAUGACGGUACUGUAAGAAUAAGCACCGGCUAACUACGUGCCAGCAGCCGCGGUAAU
This 523-nucleotide ribosomal RNA is filed under the name uncultured bacterium. Its description in RNAcentral is "bacterial SSU rRNA". It matches the Rfam family "Bacterial small subunit ribosomal RNA", at positions 8 to 524 of the family's 1533-position model. The record is from RNAcentral.